This is a long non-coding RNA of Hyposmocoma kahamanoa, 333 nucleotides long. RefSeq lists it as uncharacterized. Lineage: Eukaryota; Metazoa; Arthropoda; Insecta; Lepidoptera; Cosmopterigidae. The record is from RefSeq and is a predicted model, not a curated record. The transcript is spliced from 3 exons.
CCAAUUUGUGUUAUAUACAAUUUAUAAUAAUAAUAUUGCUAUCACGGCAUGCGAGAACCCCGGAAAGACUUACAUUGGAAAGAACAUACGAAAACAUGGUUUCCACUUAAGACAAUAACAUGAAUCAUAAUUAAUAUUCUUUCAAUCAAAUCCAGAGAUGUUAAAUGUGAGCGUCAAACUUUAUCAAGAGGAAUGAGAAUGGGUGGUAUGCAGGCCAGAAACUUUAGGACUCUUGACUCCAUUAUAAAGCUCAAGACUCAAGACGGCUCACUUGUUACUAGGAGAACCUAUAAUCUAUUUGAAUACCUCACAACCAUCGACAUAAUACGCAAA